ACACCCUCUAUUCGCUUGGAUUUGGCAGCCCUCACCUUGGAUUCUCUUUGUAUCCAGCACGCAUGGCAGCAGAUCGCUGCAGCCAUCCUUCUCACCUGGGAAGGAGGAGAUCCAUCAGCAGCAGCCCAGGGUGAAAUGCUGGAUCGACAUGAGGUACCCAUGGUUUUUUCAGAUUUUUUUGAUGAAACGGUGAAGAUGAAGAAGGAAAGCAACCGGAACGGGCGAAGAGAGGUGGAUAGGAAGUAAUUCUAAAAAAUACUGUAUUAGUAGAUUAAGUUGCAUCAGAAUAUAUAUGGAGCUGCUUAGUUCACAUCAACAGUUGCAUAAAAAUGCCUGGAACAUAUUUUUGCUUUUUUAACAGUUGUCCAUGAAUCACACUAAAGUUGCCUAUGUUAGAGAAUAUAUAUAUUGUCUCUACUUGUUGUUUUUGUGGGUUUUUUUCGCACAAGGGUUGCCUGAUAUUACUGCAAGGAGCUUAUGGGGCAGCAACCCCUCUUUUAAUGCAUGACACUAGUUGCUUCAAAUUUUAAAAGAGUUGUCCGAAAUCAUAGCAAAGUUGCUGCAUGUAUUUUUACUUUUGUUUGGGGGAUGCAUGCUACUUUUUAAUGCAAGGAACUCAUAUGGGGCACCAGACCUUUUUUACAUGCCUGAUAGUAGUUGGACUCAUUGGAUGGUUAAAAGUGUCUACAGAGGCAGAUUCCGAUAUUUGGGGCGUUUUGGUGAUCCACGUUGGAGCUGACCUUAUGAUAGGCGAUUUAAAUGUGAAGCUAGUCAAUUGAUAGUCAUGGUAACCAACUUAUAAGGAUCCUCCGUUGAUGGGUAGUCAUACUAGGUGGAAAAAGGAGUUGCUUUUCUAUAACACUAAAGUUGCCUCUACAACACAUAAAGUUGCUUAGAAAAAAAAGUUCGGCGAAACCUACUCACAUGGGAUCUAGUUUUGAAGAACUCAUCACGAGAAACCCAACGGUGAAAACGGAUUUGAAUUUUGAGAUUCUAUUCAAAAGUUAUAAGUUUUUAAAGUUUUUGAUCCCCUAAUAAAUGCAGGUGUGAUGGAUAGCGUGAGCACAUAGGACCUGACAUUUUUGUGUGUGAACAUGGCGUGGUAGUUUUGACAGUUUUUUUUAUUCGCAUGCGAGCGAUCCUCACGUGAUUCGCGUAGGGGCUGUCCUUUCCUUAUUCGGCUGCAUGGUCGCGCGCCGGAUGCCCCUUCCCUUUUCUGAUAGAGCUGCGAUCGGGCGGCCGUGCGCCCGUGCGCCAGCGAGCCGCGACGUCCACACACAACCGGCCCUAUAAUAGCGCGACGGAGAUGUUACGCGAUUCGCAGAAAACUGAAAAAAAAAGCCCACGAACAGAGCCCCCAGUCAACCUUAUCCCGCACCACCACCACUCGUUCGCCUCGCAACCGGCUCCACCAACCCUCGACUCGCCGCCGCCCCCGACCGGUGCCGCCACCGUCCGUCGCCGUGGAUCGCACCGCCGCCACCGUGUCUCGCUGCGGAUCACGCCGCCGCCACCGUCCUUCGCUUGAAUCGCGCCGCCGCCACCAUCCCUCGAUGGAGAGCGCCCCCCGCUCGACUGCCCCCGCCCAUGGGUCCCGCCGCCGGUCUCCUCCUGCAACCCCGCCGCCACCGUUCCCUGGACCCGGCAGCCGCUCCGCCACCCGCCUCGGAUCCGGCCAUGGCGCCGCCCCCCACCGCGGGAUCCGGCCGCCGCGACGUCACCGUCCAUCGCCCAGUGGUGCAACACCCAACUCACGGAGUUCCCCAUCGCCGCCGACACUCCGGCGAACUUCCUUGCCACCUCGCGGUGGACCUCUCCCUGCUGCUCCCGCGACCUUCGCCAGCGUACUUCAACCCCGCGGGCAGAGUCCCCACUCCUCCCACACCGCAAUAGAGCAUGGCUUGCCCCACGGUCCGUUCGUCCUCGGCGUCCCGCCAUGUUCGCUGCCGAGAUGCCAUCUCCCUGUCCACAUCUGAGGAUCCUUCGUUUGUCCUGGGGUAUUUCCCCGCCGUCCGUUGUCGAGGGCGACUGCGGCUACAUUCCCCGCUGAUGAGUCGCACUGCCGUACACUUCAACCCCGCGGGCAGAGUCCCCACUCCUCCCACACCGCAAUAGAGCAUGGCUUGCCCCACGGUCCGUUCGUCCUCGGCGUCCCGCCAUGUUCGCUGCCGAGAUGCCAUCUCCCUGUCCACAUCUGAGGAUCCUUCGUUUGUCCUGGGGUAUUUCCCCGCCGUCCGUUGUCGAGGGCGAUUGCGGCUACAUUCCCCGCUGACGAGUCGCACUGCCGUACUUCCUCAAGAUCCAUGUCGUCUUAGCCUAUAGGGAAGCGGCAGGAAUUCGUACUACUUUUACAUUUAAGAAUUGGAUCCGUGAUGAGCAUCCACACAGUGUGCCUCUGUUCCCAGGAGGAUGCAGCGGCAGUCGGAUUUGCUUCGUAAAAAAUUGUAUUUGGAUGAAUUCCUACAAAAAGAAUGUUUGGCAGGUCAGAUACAAAAUAAACUGAAGUUCAAAAAGAUAGCAGACUGGGAUCGAAAAACAGGAGAACUUUGUAACAAAAAAUAGUAGUUGAACAAAGUUUCUACGGCAUAUGUAGAAUUAGAUCAAGAAGAAAAAAGAUAACACUAAAAGACUCUACGUGAUGCACAGAGUACUAGUUGUACAUGUAUUGGGCAUGUACAAAUUGGAACAUCUACUGUAGGAGUGUUUGGUUUUUACAUGUAUUUCCUUUUGUUUCAAGUAGUACUACUACUCCACCAGCCAAUUGUAUAUUAUUCUUUCUUCCGGUGAAACGUUCAGUGCGACCGCCGUA
Molecule: long non-coding RNA, 2809 nt
Organism: Aegilops tauschii subsp. strangulata
Lineage: Eukaryota; Viridiplantae; Streptophyta; Magnoliopsida; Poales; Poaceae
Source: RefSeq, a predicted model, not a curated record